GAAGAGAUGGCUGAGUGGUUAAAGGCGAUAGACUGUAAAUCUAUUAAAUAAUUAUUAACAUAGGUUCAAAUCCUAUUCUCUUCA
This 84-nucleotide transfer RNA is filed under the name Synarthrophyton chejuense. RNAcentral's name for it is "tRNA-Tyr". It matches the Rfam family "tRNA". Rfam says of the family: Transfer RNA (tRNA) molecules are approximately 80 nucleotides in length. Their secondary structure includes four short double-helical elements and three loops (D, anti-codon, and T loops). Lineage: Eukaryota; Rhodophyta; Florideophyceae; Hapalidiales; Hapalidiaceae. The record is from RNAcentral.